CCUACGGGAGGCAGCAGUGAGGAAUAUUGGUCAAUGGACGAGAGUCUGAACCAGCCAAGUAGCGUGAAGGAUGACUGCCCUAUGGGUUGUAAACUUCUUUUAUAUGGGAAUAAAAUGUUCCACGUGUGGGAUUUUGUAUGUACCAUAUGAAUAAGGAUCGGCUAACUCCGUGCCAGCAGCCGCGGUAAUACGGAGGGUCCGAGCGUUAUCCGGAUUUAUUGGGUUUAAAGGGAGCGUAGGUGGAUUGUUAAGUCAGUUGUGAAAGUUUGCGGCUCAACCGUAAAAUUGCAGUUGAAACUGGCAGUCUUGAGUACAGUAGAGGUGGGCGGAAUGCGUGGUGUAGCGGUGAAAUGCUUAGAUAUCACGAAGAACUCCGAGUGCGAAGGCAGUUCACUGGACUGCAACUGACACUGAGGCUCGAAAGUGUGGGUAUCAAACAGGAUUAGAUACCCGAGUAGUC
This 460-nucleotide ribosomal RNA is filed under the name uncultured bacterium. RNAcentral's name for it is "partial 16S ribosomal RNA". It matches the Rfam family "Bacterial small subunit ribosomal RNA", at positions 338 to 795 of the family's 1533-position model. The record is from RNAcentral.